RNAcentral lists this ribosomal RNA (177 nucleotides) under uncultured bacterium. RNAcentral describes it as "partial 16S ribosomal RNA". It matches the Rfam family "Bacterial small subunit ribosomal RNA", at positions 1326 to 1500 of the family's 1533-position model. The record is from RNAcentral.
CCGGAAUUGCUAGUAAUGGCAGGUCAGCAUACUGCCGUGAAUACGUUCCCGGGCCUUGUACACACCGCCCGUCACACCAUGAGAGUUGGGGAUACCCGAAGCCUGUGAGCUAACUAUUUAUAGGAGCAGCAGUCGAAGGUAGAAUCAAUGAUUGGGGUGAAGUCGUAACAAGGUACC